Molecule: ribosomal RNA, 388 nt
Filed under: Arthrobacter sp.
Lineage: Bacteria; Bacillati; Actinomycetota; Actinomycetes; Micrococcales; Micrococcaceae
Description: bacterial SSU rRNA
Rfam family: Bacterial small subunit ribosomal RNA
Source: RNAcentral
GGUGACGGUACCAGCAGAAGAAGCGCCGGCUAACUACGUGCCAGCAGCCGCGGUAAUACGUAGGGCGCAAGCGUUAUCCGGAAUUAUUGGGCGUAAAGAGCUCGUAGGCGGUUUGUCGCGUCUGCCGUGAAAGUCCGAGGCUUAACUUCGGAUCUGCGGUGGGUACGGGCAGACUAGAGUGCAGUAGGGGAGACUGGAAUUCCUGGUGUAGCGGUGAAAUGCGCAGAUAUCAGGAAGAACACCGAUGGCGAAGGCAGGUCUCUGGGCUGUAACUGACGCUGAGGAGCGAAAGCAUGGGGAGCGAACAGGAUUAGAUACCCUGGUAGUCCAUGCCGUAAACGUUGGGCACUAGGUGUGGGGGACAUUCCACGUUUUCCGCGCCGUAGCU